AUCCUGGCUCAGGAUGAACGCUGGCGGCGUGCUUAACACAUGCAAGUCGAACGAAGCAUUUAGAACAGAUUACUUCGGUUUGAAGUUCUUUAUGACUGAGUGGCGGACGGGUGAGUAACGCGUGGGUAACCUGCCUUGUACUGGGGGAUAGCAGCUGGAAACGGCUGGUAAUACCGCAUAAGCGCACAAUGUUGCAUGACAUGGUGUGAAAAACUACCGGUGGUAUAAGAUGGACCCGCCGU
Molecule: ribosomal RNA, 242 nt
Filed under: uncultured bacterium
Lineage: Bacteria
Description: partial 16S ribosomal RNA
Rfam family: Bacterial small subunit ribosomal RNA
Source: RNAcentral